Molecule: long non-coding RNA, 1728 nt
Filed under: Equus asinus (donkey)
Lineage: Eukaryota; Metazoa; Chordata; Mammalia; Perissodactyla; Equidae
Description: lncRNA (ENSEASG00005037651.1)
Source: RNAcentral
GGAGACUCCUCCAUCUUGGGUGUUGGGAUGAGCUGUGGGGUCCUCCUCGGGAUGGGUCUGUAAAGACGCAGAGGAGCUGGUCAGGGGGUCCCAGUGGAAGCUCCAUCUUUGCACAGCAAGGAAGGCUUAAGGCUCUACCUCAUGCAAAGACAGGAUUUCUACUCAGGGUCCAAAUGACGUUUCCUCUGCCUGAACACGUCUGAGACCCCCUCCUUCCUCCGUUCGGCUGUGGGACCUGGUGCUUCUUGAUUGACGUAUGAGUUUGGGAAGACCACCAUCACCAAAGGCCACCGGCUACGCAGCUUAAACAGCAGGCAGUUAUUUCUUCCCGUUCUGGAGGCUGGGGUCCGAGAUCCAGGUGUGGGCAGGGCUGGCUCCUCCUGAGGCCUCUCUCCUUGCUGUGUAGACGCCGUCUUCUCCCCGUGUCCUCACGUGGUCGUCCCUCUGUGCACGUCUCAUGUCUUCCCAUCAGGACCCCAGUCCUGUUGCAUCAGGACCCACCCUCGUGACCUCAUUUCACCUCCAUCACCUCCUUAAAGACCCGUCUCCACGCACAGCCCCAUCCUGAGGUCCUGGGGUCAGGAUUCCAACACAGGAAUUUGGGGGGGACACAAUUCAACCCAUAAUAUUAGUGACGGCCCAUGGAGACCACGCUGGCAUCCCUGGCACUGGGUGCAGUAGGAGGAGGUGACGGCGGGAGACAGUAUGCAGAGGGACGGUCCACACCGGGACGGGUGUAGUUCCGUGGUGGAGACCACUGAGCAGGGGAGAGAGUGAGCCAUCACUCCCAGGGGCCGUUGACCCUUCUAUCUGCAAACCGAGAGCCGCCCAGAGGACAGACAAUGCUGAUAAAUAAUCCGUGUCAACGAAGAAGGCAUAGUCAAUUUUUUUUUCAAAUAAAACACAAAUAUGUCGUAAAUCAUGACUAAAUGAGUAGUAGCUUUUUUUGGCGCUUUCUACCUCCUCAUUCUAAGAACGCCAUAACGUGCUGCAGUCAUGAGGGGAUGCAUGAAUUUUUUGAUAUAAGACAGGCGUCCUGGUGCUCGGUAUGGUGGAGAAUGACUGACCUCUGUAGCUGCUUGGAGCAGGAGGCUCCCAAAAUGAAUCUUCUUUUUUCUUUUUUUUUCUUUUGAGGAAGAUUAGUCCUGAGCUAACAUCUGCUGUCAAUCCUCCUCUUUUUUUUUUUUUUUUUUUUGCUGAGGAAGACUGGCCCUGAGCUAACAUCCGUGCCCAUCUUACUCUACUUUAUAUGUGGGACGCCUGCCACAGCAUGGCGUGCCAAGCGGUGCCAUGUCCGCACCCGGGAUCCAAACUGGCGAACCCCGGGCCGCUGAAGCGGAAUGUGCGCACUUAACCGCUGCGCCCCCGGGCCCGCCCCCCCGAGAUGAAUCCUGAUGGCAAAUAAGACGAGACGGGAUCGGCAGAAUGAUGUCAGCUUCAGACAGAACUUUGCAAAGCCCCCAUCAGUUCACAGGACAGUCAUGCACCCCAGACGACGGUGGCCCCAUUAGAUGAACACUACGGACCCCGGGUGUGUAGGAGGCCACACCACCAACGUUUGCGAACAUACGGGUUUGUGCUUCGAAAAAGACUCUACUGCCUAGCAAACCUGGUCUCAUCCGCCCUUUGUGGAAACAGCCCGUCGUACGCAUAUGGCUUUACUCCUGCAGAAGAGACACCUGGAUCUUCAUUCCUGGAAAACGGAAAGAUGGAAUAUCUUGACUGUGG